GGGGAUGUAGCUCAGUGGUAGAGCACUUGCUUAGCAUGCACAAAACCCUGGAUUCCUGGAUUCCAUCCCCA
RNAcentral lists this transfer RNA (71 nucleotides) under Heterocephalus glaber (naked mole-rat). It matches the Rfam family "tRNA". From Rfam's summary of the family: Transfer RNA (tRNA) molecules are approximately 80 nucleotides in length. Their secondary structure includes four short double-helical elements and three loops (D, anti-codon, and T loops). Further hydrogen bonds mediate the characteristic L-shaped molecular structure. tRNAs have two regions of fundamental functional importance: the anti-codon, which is responsible for specific mRNA codon recognition, and the 3' end, to which the tRNAs corresponding amino acid is attached (by aminoacyl-tRNA synthetases). tRNAs cope with the degeneracy of the genetic code in two manners: having more than one tRNA (with a specific anti-codon) for a particular amino acid; and 'wobble' base-pairing, i.e. permitting non-standard base-pairing at the 3rd anti-codon position. The record is from Rfam by way of RNAcentral. Lineage: Eukaryota; Metazoa; Chordata; Mammalia; Rodentia; Bathyergidae.